Molecule: small RNA, 27 nt
Filed under: Bombyx mori (domestic silkworm)
Lineage: Eukaryota; Metazoa; Arthropoda; Insecta; Lepidoptera; Bombycidae
Description: ovarian small RNA-35625
Source: RNAcentral
UGUCAUCAAUUGUGCGCGCUCCGACGA